GAUGAACGCUGGCGGCGUGCCUAACACAUGCAAGUCGAGCGAACAGACGAGGAGCUUUUUCCCCUGACGUUAGCGGCGGACGGGCGAGUAACACGUGGAUAACCUACCUAUAAGACUGGGAUAAUAACGGGAAACCGGAGCUAAUACCGGAUAAUAUAUUGAACCGCAUGGUUCAAUAGUGAAAGACGGUUUUGCUGUCUCUUAUAGAUGGAUCCGCGCCGCAUUAGCUAGUUGGUAAGGUAACGGCUUACCAAGGCUACGAUGCGUAGCCGACCUGAGAGGGUGAUCGGCCACACUGGAACUGAGACACGGUCCAGACUCCUACGGGAGGCAGCAGUAGGGAAUCUUCCGCAAAGGGCGAAAGCCUGACGGAGCAACACCGCGUGAGUGAUGAAGGUCUUCGGAUCGUAAAGCUCUGUUGUUAGGAAAGAACAAAUGUGUAUGUAACUAUGGACGUCUUGACGGUACCUAAUCAAAAAGCCACGGCUAACUACGUG
RNAcentral lists this ribosomal RNA (497 nucleotides) under uncultured bacterium. RNAcentral's name for it is "partial 16S ribosomal RNA". It matches the Rfam family "Bacterial small subunit ribosomal RNA", at positions 28 to 507 of the family's 1533-position model. The record is from RNAcentral.